CGUAGGAUGCAAGCGUUGUUCGGAAUUACUGGGCGUAAAGAGUACGUAGGCGGUAUGGUAAGUCUGAUAUUAAAGACCGGAGCUCAACUCCGGGACUGUAUCGGAAACUGCCAAACUAGAGGACAAUAGAGGAAGUGGGAAUUCUCAGUGUAGCGGUGAAAUGCGUAGAUAUUGGGAAGAACACCAGUGGCGAAAGCGCACUUCUGGGUUGUUACUGACGCUGAGGUACGAAAGCGUGGGGAGCAAACGGGAUUAGAUACCCCGGUAGUCCACGCUGUAAACGAUGGAUACUAGGUGUAGCCGGUCUCGACCCCGGCUGUGCCGCAGCUAACGCAUUAAGUAUCCCGCCUGGGGAGUAUGGCCGCAAGGUUG
RNAcentral lists this ribosomal RNA (372 nucleotides) under uncultured organism. RNAcentral describes it as "bacterial SSU rRNA". It matches the Rfam family "Bacterial small subunit ribosomal RNA", at positions 526 to 896 of the family's 1533-position model. The record is from RNAcentral.